This 253-nucleotide ribosomal RNA is filed under the name uncultured bacterium. Its description in RNAcentral is "partial 16S ribosomal RNA". It matches the Rfam family "Bacterial small subunit ribosomal RNA", at positions 524 to 776 of the family's 1533-position model. The record is from RNAcentral.
UACAGAGGGUGCGAGCGUUAAUCGGAAUUACUGGGCGUAAAGCGCACGUAGGCGGCGACGUAAGUCGGGUGUGAAAGCCCCGGGCUCAACCUGGGAAGUGCAUUUGAGACUGCAUGGCUGGAGUACGGAAGAGGAGGGUGGAAGUCCCGGUGUAGCGGUGAAAUGCGUAGAUAUCGGGAGGAACAUCAGUGGCGAAGGCGGCCCUCUGGGCCAGUACUGACACUCAAGUGCGAAAGCGUGGGGAGCAAACAGG